UGGGGAAUUUUGGACAAUGGGCGCAAGCCUGAUCCAGCCAUGCCGCGUGCGGGAAGAAGGCCUUCGGGUUGUAAACCGCUUUUGUCAGGGAAGAAACGCUCUGGGCUAAUACCCCGGGGUAAUGACGGUACCUGAAGAAUAAGCACCGGCUAACUACGUGCCAGCAGCCGCGGUAAUACGUAGGGUGCAAGCGUUAAUCGGAAUUACUGGGCGUAAAGCGUGCGCAGGCGGUCUUGCAAGACAGAUGUGAAAUCCCCGGGCUUAACCUGGGAACUGCAUUUGUGACUGCAAGGCUAGAGUACGGCAGAGGGGGAUGGAAUUCCGCGUGUAGCAGUGAAAUGCGUAGAUAUGCGGAGGAACACCGAUGGCGAAGGCAAUCCCCUGGGCCUGUACUGACGCUCAUGCACGAAAGCGUGGGGAGCAAACA
RNAcentral lists this ribosomal RNA (427 nucleotides) under uncultured Burkholderiales bacterium. RNAcentral describes it as "partial 16S ribosomal RNA". It matches the Rfam family "Bacterial small subunit ribosomal RNA", at positions 355 to 774 of the family's 1533-position model. Lineage: Bacteria; Pseudomonadati; Pseudomonadota; Betaproteobacteria; Burkholderiales. The record is from RNAcentral.